Molecule: unclassified non-coding RNA, 851 nt
Filed under: Utricularia laciniata
Lineage: Eukaryota; Viridiplantae; Streptophyta; Magnoliopsida; Lamiales; Lentibulariaceae
Description: partial contains tRNA-Leu (trnL) gene and trnL-trnF spacer region
Source: RNAcentral
AGCUGAGCUAUCCCGACCAUUCUCAGCGUCUUAAUCUUUAUUAUUUUAGUCGAUGGCUGGGGUCUAUGUCAAUGGACGGGAUAGGGGGGAUUACAAAUUUUUAUCCUCCUACUUUAAUGUCUUUGAUCUUCAAAAAGACCACUUUUGAGGUUUCAGUAUUCGUAUAGCUAUUGMUAGUGAAUCAUUUAAAUCAGGAUUAUUUGCUAAAGUYGGAUGUGUAUUCUUAUUUAUAUCACAUAGGAGGAUAGAAAGUCAUUUACGCCCAACYACGGUUGUCAAAGAAUCAUCAAAAUCAAGCAAUUUCGAACCGAAAGGGAGAGGGUAGGAUAAAGAUUUGAGGAGUCAAAUUGGCUGGUUAGGGGAUAGAGGCUUAACCCUCACGAUUUAAAAAUCAACGGAUUUUCCUCUUACUAUAAAUUUCAUUGUUGCCAGUAUUGACAUGUAGAAGGGGACUCUAUCUUUAUUCUUGUCCGAUUGAUCAAUUCUUUAAAAGGUUUAUCGGACUAUGGAGUGAAUGAUUUCAUGAAAACAAUUCGAUUUUUUAUUCAAUGUCGAAUCAAUUCACACCAACUCUUUUUCUAUUUUUCAUAUAAAAAAAUAUAUCUAGAGAUUCGGCCCAUCAUUAAGCAUUUGCUAUAGUAUUCAAUAGAUAGGUUUAUCCUUGAUCCUUUCGGACGUUUUGGUGGAAAGAUUCCUCUACCAGUGCCCCCAUUUAUUAGAACAGCUUCCAUUGAGUCUCUGGACCUAUCUUUCUGAACCUUUGAGAAAACAGGAUUUGGCUCAGGAUUGCCCUUUUUUUAAUUCCGGGGUUUCCCUGAAUUUGAAAGUUAUCACUUAGUAGGUUUCCAUAC